Molecule: long non-coding RNA, 1572 nt
Organism: Myotis myotis
Lineage: Eukaryota; Metazoa; Chordata; Mammalia; Chiroptera; Vespertilionidae
Exons: 3
Source: RefSeq, a predicted model, not a curated record
GAGAGCCGAGGUGGCGGGUCAGGCUCCGAAGCCGCCGGCCACGUCCACUCCCGCCGGACGCGCUCCUCUCGGCUGUUUGCUGCAGCCCCGGGAGGGGCCGGAGGAGAAGGCCUUCAGCCGAGGUGUGAACCAGCCCUGGCCCUACACCGACAGCUGCCGGACACGGAGCCGCGGCUCAGGGGACGCGGCUAAAAAAGACGAGGACGAGAGGGCUGCCCGCCCGCCGGCCGGCUCUGCUGCUUGUGGAAAUCUCGGCCUUUCCUCCGCUGGCAGUUGCAGGCCACCUGGCCCUGGGAGGGGCAGCAGCCUGGAACCGGAGCUUUCAGUCCAACGGCAGCCCCGGCCUGCGCUUCUGACCCGCAGAGGUCAGAGGUCAUGGUCCCCGCUCUGCAGAGGUCAGAGGUCAUGGUCACCGAGGUACUUGCGGGGGCCGCUAGCUGGGUGUUUGACAUCUUAGUGCAGUUACGUCUCUGCAGCGAGAUCCCACGGGGGAAGUGGCCAUCGGGGGGCCCGCUGGGUGGGAAAGGCACGAGCAGCCAGGCUGGAGCCAGAGCACAGGAUGGAGGGGCUCCCCAAACUAGAAAACCAUGACUCAUCCUGUUUGACGGCAGCAGCUUCGAGGUCAGAAUCGAUGCCGAAAAGUUCCAGGUGAAGAAACAUCACGUUUUCAAACCGAGUCGGGAUGCCCUUGGGCCGUGUGCCCCGCCCGGCACGCCCACCGGCUUCCUGCCGCGGCCUCGGUGCGCGGGGCCACCGGCCACUUGUGUGGCGAGAAGGGUCAUCUCGCCGCAGCCGGUCCCAGGGCCGCCGAGCAGGGACCCAGGAAGCCGGCUCGCUCCCGGGGGCCGGGGCAUUCGGGGAGCAGGUGGACCUUUGGGUGCUCCUGUUCCGGGAGGACCGGCCCCCCCACUUUGUGCCAGGAUACAAUAACCAGCCCCCCACCCAUUUCAGGGCAAGUGGCCCGAGGGCUGAGGAAGGCCCGUCUUGUUUUUCUCUAGAACGUUCCAGACUCGUGGCCUCAUGUCAGUUCUGUUUGGGCAGCAAGUGUCUCAUGCUCCCCCUGGGAGAUACGGAGACGGUGUAAGUUCACCCACCGGGGGCUUCUCUGUCCCCAGGAGCGCGCACGCUCUCUCUCUCUCUCUCUCUCUCUCUCUGUCUCUCUCUCUAAAUGGACUUUUUAGAGAGAGAGGAAGGGGGGGAGGGAGAGAGAGAGAGAAACACUGAUGUGUUGUUCCACUUAUUCGUGCGUUCAUUGGUGGCUUCUGGGUAUCGAACCGGCAACCUUGGUGUUUGGGGACGACGCUCUGACCCUCGGAGCCCCGGCCUCUUAGGAAGCCCCCUCGGGCUGGUCCUGGAGGCACCUCGUUUCCUAGCCUCGCGCCUCCCUGCCUGCGCUCCCGGAAGCUCUCUGCACGCAGCUCAGGCCUCACCCAAGAACGACCCCUUCUCAGAGCCGCCCGCCCUGAACGCGAGCCCUGACCUGUCCCCCCGAUUAUCAGUGGAAGGAGUUUCUUUCCUCCAUUAAUCUCAGCGUUGGCUUCCUGGUGUGUUCACCCCUGAUCCCACGGCCGG